GGGUCUCUCCUAGCACUGCGGUAAUAUGGCUCCUUAGUGAGCGGUCCCGGCUCGGUGCUGCUACCGCCAUUAACCCCUUGGUGCUCGGUUGCGGUGGAGGGACCGCGGGGCCGAUGCGCAGGCGCCUCUCACGCUCCCGGGCCGCCGCCCUCCCGUGAGGAUGAGCUCGGCCGUCGGCCCCGCCGCGCUGCCCGCGGGCUCCAGCAGCCGGGCCCUGCAUGUGGAGCUGCCCUCGCAGCAGCGGCGGCUUCGUCACCUACGGAAUAUUGCUGCACGUAACAUUGUUAAUAGGAAUGGUUAUCGCCUCCUGGAUACCUACUUCACUCUUCAUUUGUGUGAUAACAGUAAGAUAUGUAAAGAAUUUUAUAGGAGUGAAGUGAUCAAGAACUCCCUGAAUCCAACAUGGAGGAGUCUUGACUUUGGAAUAAUGCCUGAUCGCCUCGAUACAUCUGUGUCAUGUUUUCUGGUGAGGAUCUGGGGUGGCAAGAAAGAGCUCUAUCAGCUGUUGAUCGAAUGGAAAGUCAGUCUAGAUGGACUAAAAUACUUGGGUCAGCAGAUACAUGCUCGAAACCCAAAUGAAAUAAUUUUUGGGUUGAACGAUGGCUAUUAUGGAGCUUCCUUUGAACAGAAGGAUCAUUCAGGCACCCAGAAGAGUAGUCUUCUCCAGGUAGAUCAGAACUGUGUCCGUAACUCAUAUGAUGUCUUCUCGUUGCUUAGGCUUCAUAGAGCCCAGUGUGCAAUUAAACAGACUCAGGUAACUGUUCAGAAAAUAGGAAGGGAGAUUGAAGAAAAACUGAGACUUACAUCCACAAGCAAUGACCUGAAAAAAAAGAGUGAGUGUUUACAGUUGAAGAUUUUGGUGCUUCGGCAUGAGCUGGAGAGGCAGAAGAAGGCACUGGGUCGAGAGGUGGCCUUGCUGCAUAAGGAACAAAAUAUGUUACUUGACAAAGGAAAGGCAUUUGAGACUGAAUACCAGAGGCUUCAAAUGCAUAAAGAAUCCCUGCAUGAGUUGAGAAAAGAAUGCACUGCUAAGAGAGAAUUGUUCUUGAAGACCAAUGCACAGUUGACCAUUCGGUGCAGGCAGUUGUUAUCAGAGCUUUCCUAUAUUUACUCUAUUGAUUUGAACGAUCAAAAGGAUUACUUCGUCUGCGGAGUCAAGCUGCCUAAUUCUGAAGACUUUCAAGCAAAAGAUGAUGGAAGCAUUGCUGUUGCCCUGGGCUACACUGCACACUUGGUCUCAAUGAUUUCCUUCUUUCUACAAGUGCCACUCAGGUAUCCCAUAAUUCACAAAGGUUCCAGAUCUGCAAUCAAAGAUAAUAUCAACGACAAACUGACAGAGAAAGAGCGAGAGUUUCCACUAUAUCCAAAGGGAGGAGAGAGACUUCAGUUUGAUUAUGGAGUUUACCUUCUCAACAAAAAUAUAGCACAGCUUAGAUAUCAACAUGGAUUGGGUACUCCAGACCUAAGGCAAACUCUUCCUAACCUGAAAAACUUCAUGGAGCAUGGGCUCAUGGUCAGAUGUGAUCGGCAUCAUAUUUCUAGUGCAAUUCCAGUUCCAAAGAGACAAAGUUCUACCUUCGGUGGCUUGGAUGUUGGCUUAUCUACUGGGCCUCCUUCCCCAGAUAAGGGACACCGGAAACGGGCCAGCUCAGAGAAUGAAAGACUACAGUACAAAACCCCCCCUCCUAGUUAUAAUUCUGCAUUAGCACAGCCUGUUGCCAUUGCAGCACCUGUAGAAGAGUCGGAUAAAAAAUCUGGAUCGCUAACCUCAUCCUUAGAUACCUCCAUGGACUUCUCAAAAGAAACCAACAAAAGAGAGGAUUUGUGUGACAGUUUAAAUGCAGAAAAUGGGAGUCUGAAUAAUGUCCAAGACCAGCAGGAGUCUUUCCUGGGACAUACUAGUGCAAUAAAUGGAACAUUUCUGCCUAGUGAAUGCACUGGCAGUGCAAGCAGCGAGCAGCCAUGCGAGUUCCAUCCUCCCCUCAGCACUGAUCUUUGUUGCACUGUUGAGCAAGCAGAGGAAAUAAUUGGGAUGGAAGCAACAGGAUUCAGCACCGGAGAUCAGCUAGAAGCCUUUAACUGCAUCCCGGUGGACCAUGCUGUGGCAGUGGAAUGUGAUGAUCAAGUUCUAGGGGAGUUUGAGGAGUUCUCCCGAAGGAUCUAUGCACUGAACGAAAACAUGUCCAGCUUUCGCAGACCACGCAAAAGUUCGGACAAGUAAGCUUCAACAGGAAUUCGGUAGUGGACAGUACCACGGUGAUAUCAGUGAUCUGAAAUGAAGAUAAAGUUGCACUUAUAAUCCUUUGUGUUAAUUAUGGAAAAAUGAUUAAAGCUGUUCCUUUGGUGUUGGAAAAUGAACUUUGUAACUGAGAGUGAUAACACAGGAUCAUGGUAUAUUCACUGUCCAGCAGAGAGAAAUAUCGCAGAACCACCUACAACCUCCAGUCUGAGCACCAAUGGCAAUAGGAGUCACUCAUGCACAUUUGCGGGUGGAGCACUUCUACUGAUACAUACAGUACAUGCAUGAGGAAAGUCAUUAUAUUUGGGAGUACAAUGUAGCCUGUGCUGUGGUGUCUCUAAAGCCACCCAAAGAAAAGUUGUAAAAUUAUAUCCCUUACACAGGCACCAUUUGACUCAAAGCAAUUGGACAAUGUAUUAAAUGGGGUUCAUAGAACAUCAGUGUGACUUAAAAUACUUUUUGCAUUAUUUUCAAAUUGAUUAUCUCAGGUUCCACACAACCAAAUGAAGCCCAAUAGUUGUCUUCCCUCAUGUUGUGUUGUGUUGCUCUUUAACCCAGUGUUUCUGGAGUUUAUAAAAACUCUUCUAAUGAACCACUAUUGACCCCUGUAAUUAUAAUGCUUAUGUCACAGUACAGCUAUUCUUGAGUCUGCAUGUUUGUUGCACAAGUUUGCUUUACCCACUUUCUUCAAUAAUGAAUCCUUUCAGCACACCCACACCUUAAAUUGCCACCAUGUUUCUUGGCAGCGUUUUAUAACCUUCUACCUACAAUAGUGUCUUGGGGCUAAUCAAAGCAUUGACAAAUUUAUUUUUGCCAUUAUAAGGCAAAAUUAUUGCGCAAGCCGCCACCACGUGGCUCUUUUACAGUUUGCCUUGUAAAUUACUGAAUUAAAAAAAAAUCUUGGGGUGAGGGGGAAUGGAGGCAAACUGUAAAUUUGGAUGAUAUAUCACUGUGCAUUUUAGUUGCCAAGAGCCUUUUAGUUUCUGCACAGCAGACACACUGUUAAGUCUGCAAGCGUUUUCAAGUGAAAAUGUUUCAUUGCAUUUUCUUCCCCCACUAGAAAUUCCUAAGAUUUCUCAGAAUAUUAGCUUUGGAAGAUUUGUGUCCAGCUCUAUUUUUAUAGCAAGCAUAAGUGUGUUGGCUUAUCCUUGCCUAGCCAGGUACUUUAAAUAACUAAAACGAAAUAAAAUAUCCCAUAAUAAAUGGCAUGUUAAAGUUCCAUUGGUAAUUGCAAAAAAUCUCUGCAUCUGUAUUUAUAAAAUAAAAUUGGUUAGUAUUUAUCUGAA
Molecule: RNA transcript, 3525 nt
Organism: Mauremys reevesii (Reeves's turtle)
Lineage: Eukaryota; Metazoa; Chordata; Testudines; Geoemydidae
Gene: UVRAG
Gene name: UV radiation resistance associated
Exons: 16
Source: RefSeq, a predicted model, not a curated record